This 775-nucleotide ribosomal RNA is filed under the name uncultured Neocallimastigales. RNAcentral describes it as "partial large subunit ribosomal RNA". It matches the Rfam family "Eukaryotic large subunit ribosomal RNA", at positions 26 to 616 of the family's 3401-position model. Lineage: Eukaryota; Fungi; Neocallimastigomycota; Neocallimastigomycetes; Neocallimastigales. The record is from RNAcentral.
CGCAUCUGUGCAUGCAGCAUAUCAAUAAGCGGAGGAAAAGAAACUAACAAGGAUUCCCCUAGUAACGGCGAGUGAAGCGGGAAGAGCUCAAAUUUGAAAUCUUAAAGGGUUUCCCUUUACGAAUUGUAGUUUAAAGAAGUGUUUUCUGUUGAGGUUUUGGUAAAAGUUCUUUGGAAUAGGACAUCAUAGAGGGUGAGAAUCCCGUAUUUGACCUUUACUUUCAACUUUGUGAUACACUUUCAAAGAGUCGGAUUGUUUGGGAAUGCAGUCCAAAAUGGGUGGUAAAUUUCAUCUAAAGCUAAAUAUUGGCGAGAGACCGAUAGCGAACAAGUACCGUGAGGGAAAGAUGAAAAGAACUUUGAAAAGAGAGUUAAACAGUACGUGAAAUUGUCAAAAGGGAAGCGUUUGACACCAGUGUUGUUUUUCUGAAAAUCAAUUAAAGAACUGUUUAUGCUAAGUUGUUUAGACUUUAUCAGCUAAUCUGCUUAGUUUUGAGCUUUUCUUUAAUGCACUUUUCAGUUAACAAGUCAACAUCAAUUUCUUUUGCUGUAAAAAAGCUUGAGGAAGGUGGCUUGAGAUUCGUCUUAAGUGUUUAUAGCCUCUUGCCUAUGCAGUCGGAGAGAUUGAGGUCUGCAGCGUAGAUCCUUCGGGGCUAAAUGCAUUUGUGCUAAGUUAUAGCACUUUAUAGACAACUUGUUGACUAUGAUUUGUCUUGUAGCUUACUCGCUUAUGUUAUUUUACCUACGCUUAGGAUGUUGAGCGCAUGUCUCUCUCU